Molecule: long non-coding RNA, 304 nt
Filed under: Penaeus japonicus
Lineage: Eukaryota; Metazoa; Arthropoda; Malacostraca; Decapoda; Penaeidae
Description: uncharacterized LOC122253802
Source: RNAcentral
GUGGAGGCAGAGGGUUUUAGAAGAGAAAAGACGACGACGAAAUAUGUCUGUGGUUCAGACGACCUUGAGGGUCUGCCCAUGGAGGCGCCUCCUGAAGCAGUCGAGGGCUCCGUCAGCGCCUGGCUCUCUGCUUCCACGACCUACAUGGCUGUGGUGAUGAAGAAUAUGAAGAUGCUGUUGCCCCACGGCCGAGGAGACCUGGUCAGCCUGGACGCCGCCGCGAACGUGUAUCUUCUGGAGGCGCUUCUUGAAGAGCGCCAAGAGCUAAAACUUCUGGAGAUGUUCUAUGAUAAUAUGACAGCAG